This 77-nucleotide transfer RNA is filed under the name Chthoniobacter sp. RNAcentral's name for it is "tRNA-Arg". It matches the Rfam family "tRNA". Rfam says of the family: Transfer RNA (tRNA) molecules are approximately 80 nucleotides in length. Their secondary structure includes four short double-helical elements and three loops (D, anti-codon, and T loops). Further hydrogen bonds mediate the characteristic L-shaped molecular structure. tRNAs have two regions of fundamental functional importance: the anti-codon, which is responsible for specific mRNA codon recognition, and the 3' end, to which the tRNAs corresponding amino acid is attached (by aminoacyl-tRNA synthetases). tRNAs cope with the degeneracy of the genetic code in two manners: having more than one tRNA (with a specific anti-codon) for a particular amino acid; and 'wobble' base-pairing, i.e. permitting non-standard base-pairing at the 3rd anti-codon position. The record is from RNAcentral. Lineage: Bacteria; Pseudomonadati; Verrucomicrobiota; Spartobacteria; Chthoniobacterales; Chthoniobacteraceae.
GUGCCCGUAGCUCAACUGGAUAGAGCAGCGGUCUUCUAAACCGCAGGUUGUGGGUUCGAUUCCCGCCGGGCGCGCCA